Molecule: non-coding RNA, 131 nt
Filed under: unclassified sequences
Description: SAM-I-IV sequence
Rfam family: SAM-I/IV (S-adenosyl methionine) riboswitch aptamer
About the family: It is found upstream of a number of genes which code for proteins involved in methionine or cysteine biosynthesis. It has been found mostly in the order Actinomycetales.
Source: Rfam by way of RNAcentral
GAUGUUCAUCAGGAGAGGUCUGAGCAAUCAGACCCGGCAACCUGGGCGGAAGCCCCAAGGUGCCUCCCAAUCGAGCCUUCGGGUCUGAAAGGGGAUGUGGUCAGCAAUAACUGGCAACGAAACUUCCUGGA